AGAGUUUGAUCCUGGCUCAGAUUGAACGCUGGCGGCAUGCCUUACACAUGCAAGUCGAACGGCAGCACGGGGGGUAACCCCUGGUGGCGAGUGGCGAACGGGUGAGUAAUAUAUCGGAACGUGUCCUGUAGCGGGGGAUAACCUAUCGAAAGAUGGACUAAUACCGCAUACGACCUACGGGUGAAAGCGGAGGACCGCAAGGCUUCGCACUAUAGGAGCGGCCGAUAUCGGAUUAGCUAGUUGGUGGGGUAACGGCCUACCAAGGCAACGAUCCGUAGCUGGUCUGAGAGGACGGUCAGCCACACUGGAACUGAGACGCGGUCCAGACUCCUACGGGAGGCAGCAGUGGGGAAUUUUGGACAAUGGGCGCAAGCCUGAUCCAGCCAUGCCGCGUGAGUGAAGAAGGCCUUCGGGUUGUAAAGCUCUUUCGGCGGGGACGAAAC
RNAcentral lists this ribosomal RNA (443 nucleotides) under uncultured bacterium. RNAcentral's name for it is "bacterial SSU rRNA". It matches the Rfam family "Bacterial small subunit ribosomal RNA", at positions 8 to 451 of the family's 1533-position model. The record is from RNAcentral.